GACAGCAGCCGCCACGGUAAUACGUAGGUGGCAAGCGUUGUCCGGAAUUAUUGGGCGUAAAGGGCUCGCAGGCGGUUUCUUAAGUCUGAUGUGAAAGCCCCCGGCUCAACCGGGGAGGGUCAUCGGAAACUGGGGAACUUGAGUGCAGAAGAGGGGAGUGGAAUUCCACGUGUAGCGGUGAAAUGCGUAGAGAUGUGGAGGAACACCAGUGGCGAAGGCGACUCUCUGGUCUGUAACUGACGCUGAGGAGCGAAAGCGUGGGGAGCGAACAGGAUUAGAUACCCGAGUAGUCCCUGUCUCUUAUAA
Molecule: ribosomal RNA, 306 nt
Filed under: uncultured bacterium
Lineage: Bacteria
Description: partial 16S ribosomal RNA
Rfam family: Bacterial small subunit ribosomal RNA
Source: RNAcentral